Molecule: ribosomal RNA, 490 nt
Filed under: Neisseria mucosa
Lineage: Bacteria; Pseudomonadati; Pseudomonadota; Betaproteobacteria; Neisseriales; Neisseriaceae
Description: bacterial SSU rRNA
Rfam family: Bacterial small subunit ribosomal RNA
Source: RNAcentral
AUUGAACGCUGGCGGCAUGCUUUACACAUGCAAGUCGGACGGCAGCACAGAGAAGCUUGCUUCUUGGGUGGCGAGUGGCGAACGGGUGAGUAACAUAUCGGAACGUACCGAGCAGUGGGGGAUAACUAAUCGAAAGAUUAGCUAAUACCGCAUAUAUUCUGAGGAAGAAAGCAGGGGACCAUUUGGCCUUGCGCUGUUUGAGCGGCCGAUAUCUGAUUAGCUGGUUGGUGGGGUAAAGGCCUACCAAGGCGACGAUCAGUAGCGGGUCUGAGAGGAUGAUCCGCCACACUGGGACUGAGACACGGCCCAGACUCCUACGGGAGGCAGCAGUGGGGAAUUUUGGACAAUGGGCGCAAGCCUGAUCCAGCCAUGCCGCGUGUCUGAAGAAGGCCUUUCGGGUUGUAAAGGACUUUUGUCCAGGGAAGAAAAGGGCGGGGCUAAUACCCCUGUGCUGAUGACGGUACCUGAAGAAUAAGGACCGCUAACUAAC